Molecule: ribosomal RNA, 466 nt
Filed under: uncultured bacterium
Lineage: Bacteria
Description: partial 16S ribosomal RNA
Rfam family: Bacterial small subunit ribosomal RNA
Source: RNAcentral
GACGAACGCUGGCGGCGUGCUUAACACAUGCAAGUCGAACGAUGACGACCGAGCUUGCUCGGUCUGAUUAGUGGCGAACGGGUGAGUAACACGUGAGCAACCUGCCCUUCACUCUGGGAUAACCUCGGGAAAUCGGGGCUAAUACCGGAUAUGAGCUCCUGUCGCAUGGCGGGUGUUGGAAAGUUUUUCGGUGAAGGAUGGGCUCGCGGCCUAUCAGUUUGUUGGUGAGGUAGUGGCUCACCAAGGCGAUGACGGGUAGCCGGCCUGAGAGGGCGACCGGCCACACUGGGACUGAGACACGGCCCAGACUCCUACGGGAGGCAGCAGUGGGGAAUAUUGCACAAUGGGCGAAAGCCUGAUGCAGCGACGCCGCGUGAGGGAUGACGGCCUUCGGGUUGUAAACCUCUUUCAGCAGGGAAGAAGCGAAAGUGACGGUACCUGCAGAAGAAGCGCCGGCUAACUACGU